Taeniopygia guttata (zebra finch) is the source of this 2723-nucleotide non-coding RNA. Lineage: Eukaryota; Metazoa; Chordata; Aves; Passeriformes; Estrildidae. The record is from RefSeq and is a predicted model, not a curated record.
GCUUCCUCAGCUUCACUCUUUGUGUCUGCCGGCUCUGUGGUUGCCAGUGGCCAAAGGCCCACCAGACAGCCACGGCGGCCAGCAGCAGGACAAACGCAGCCAUCAGGACGUCACCGUCACCCAUGGCUCCGGCAGGUCCCAUCGUGACUGCACUGGCAGCUGUGGGUGCUGGCCCGUCUCACACAGCGACAGCGCGCUGAUGUCACAGCGAUGUCACAGUGCUGCGGCCAGCACAGCCCUGGGACAUCACAGCCCUGCCUGACGCCAGCACUCUGCCCCUUUGUGCCAUCACAGCCCUGCCUCGGCCCCGCCCUCCGCAGUGCCCCAGGAGGGAUAAAGGGGCUCCCUAUGGGCACUUGCAAGACCCAGCUCUUUGCCGCUUCCCCGGGAAGAAAAUGGAUCCUAUCCCAUUGAAAGCCAGUACAUUAGCCCAUUCUUCACCCAGCACACCCUGUCUCUAUUUGUCUCACAGCUGGACACCUGCACCAGGUGUAUUCUGCGAGGGACAGGAUCAAAACUCCACUUAAAACCCUGAAAUAGAAUCUGCAUUGCCUUCCCAUCGUCCAUGAGACCGGGUGACCUUCUGUUAGGGUGUGGGAUUCCUUAAAAUCAGAGGGUUUUGGGCACGUUGUAAAAGUCAGACCUCAGAGACAGCAGGAUGGUGAUUUAGAGCUAAGCAGUAGCUAUAAGAUUGGUCAGCAGAAAAAUUAUACAAGAAGUAGAAAGAAAGAACAAAUAGAACUAUGGUCUGUGUAUUAACGUCUGGGUAGAAUAACUUCCUACGUUGCAGAAAAGUAUAUCUGGUGAGAUAUUAGGAAGUUCUAAGAUUAAUAAUGGAGCUAUGUGCAUUGUAUCUUAAGGCUUACAGGCAAGUAUUGUAUUUGAAAUAAGCAAGCAUUGUUUUAACCAAAGGUAUGUGUAUUUAUAGUGAUUGGCUAGAACUACUGUCAAUAUGCUUUUGCUUUGUGUGAUUGGUCAUAAAGUUUAUAAAGUAAGUUGUAACAUGAAGUUCUUGGUCUGUUGCUUGGGAAUGUGAGCUGCUGGCAUCUUCCCAUUGUCAUAACCAUGUAAUGAGACUGAUGCUAAAAAAUAAACAGCUUAAGUCGCAUACCACAGCAGUCCUGUCCAGUUUGUGACUUGUAUAGAGCCCCCGGCCGGCGAUAAUAUAGCAUUCAAUAUUUUUAUACAGCAUGACUUCUCAUUACCUAAUAAAAUGAUUUGUAGAAAUGAAUUGGAAAACAGGAAAUAAACCAAGAAAAAUAUUCAAGCUAUAAAAGAUGUGAGUUUUCUCUCACAGGUCAAGAUUUUCUUUGUAUUUCAGAUGAAAAAUAUUAGGAAGCUAAAUGGUCACCCAUUCUUUUAAAAAGUAUCUGGAUAUCCAAGAGAUAUAAAUUUCGGCAGGACUUGUAUGUCAGGUAUUCCUGAAAACCUUGAUUUCACUGCUGCCCGACCUUGAUUCAAUCCACUUAAAUGCAGCUGUAUUCCAGGUGCUCAGUGAAAUUCUCCAUGGAAUGCAUAUUGUUUAGAAAUCAUCUGCAGAAAAAGCUAGAUACAUCUGAAGAUCUUUUUUUGGGAAUGGCAUUUCAGUUCUUUGUACAAACACACAGAUGGGAUUUCUGCUGUCUUCUUCAGGCCACUUCCUCCAGAGACCUCUCUAUUAAAUCUCUCUAGUUCUACCCUUCUGGUGAUCCAAAGUCAGCACUGGCAUUGUCCAACUGCGUGGAAUUACUGCAUGCUACAGCCGCGCACUGAGGGCUUCUGUGUGCAGCAUCAUGGCAAAUCUGGGAGAAGACAUCUGAAAGGGGACACCCCCAGAAAGCCAACCCACAUGGCCUCUCCCCCCAACCGGUUUGGGAAAAAUUUCCUGGGAGAGAAGUGGAAGAAACCUGUUGAUUUAACAGGCAAAGCACUCCCCAGCACAAAAAAUGAACACUAGCAGAUGACAAAGCUCAUUUGAUGCUCUGAAGAGAUGACAACAAGGUCAGAAAGUCUCUCCUGUGGCUGGUCGCUCUGUUAUCAGUCCCUGCGGCACUUGGAAAGGCUGCUGCCCAGAGUAGGUCACCAAGUAAAAGCUCUCACUGCUCCCCGAGUCCCAGUCCGGGGCAGGUUCAAACAGGUCCAAGAAAAGGGAAAGGAAAAGCAACUGUCCAGGGAAAACUUCUCUGCCUCAGCAGCUAAACUAACUAAAAAGCAAAGAAGUGCUCUCUUCUGCUCCGUCCGUGCCCAGACAGCACAGUCCAGCGCAGAAUGUGGAGGAGUGUUGCUUGUAGAGGAGUGAGUGCAGUCUCUGAUAACCAACUCCGUGCUUUGUCUUCUCCUUGCCUUCACUCUCAGAACCAGUCUUGAAGGCACAGAAUAUAAUAGCCAGCAUCAACAGAACAGACCGCUGGGGAUACAAGCAUCAGAAAGUCACCCUGGGACACUGCUCUAUUGAGAGAUGUCACCAGACUAUGCUAAGACCAAUUUCCAGAAUAAUAUUCAAAUUCUGUAAUCACAGUGGAAAGCUGAGGAGGAAACAUCGUUCACUUCAGUUACCUUGUGGCAUGCCAGUACUUCCUUUCAAUCCCAAUGUUUUUUGGUUUUAAUCCCAUGACAUCACAGGCAUAACUAAACAUCUUUGGAGCAGGAAGGAAGAUAUUAUUCUUCUCAUGAUACUGAUGGGUAAGCUGAAAUGCAAAGCUGCUUAUUCAAAGUGAAGAAGCAAUAAAGUCAAUUGUAAAACU